RNAcentral lists this ribosomal RNA (441 nucleotides) under uncultured bacterium. RNAcentral's name for it is "bacterial SSU rRNA". It matches the Rfam family "Bacterial small subunit ribosomal RNA", at positions 97 to 520 of the family's 1533-position model. The record is from RNAcentral.
GGCGAACGGGUGAGUAACACGUGGGUAGACCUGCCCUUCACUCUGGGAUAAGCCUGGGAAACUGGGAUCUAAUACCGGAUAUUCACUUCUUGUUGCAUGACAGGUGGUGUGAAAGUUUUUUCGGUGGGGUGAUGGGCCCUGCUGGCCAUAUCAGCUUGUUGGUAGGGAGUGAUGGCCUACCAAGGCGACGACGUGGUAGCCUGGUCCUGAGACGGGCGACCGGCCACACUUGGGACUGAGACACUGGGCCAUGACUCCAUACGGGAGGCCAGGCAUGUGGGGGAAUAUUGCGUCAAUGGGCGGAAGCCUGACUGCAGCGACGUCCUGCAGUGGGGGAUGACGUGCCUUCGGGUUGUAAACCUCUUUCGACUUCGACCGAAUGCCUUCGGGUGACGGUAGGGGUGGAAGAAGCACCGGCCAAUUACGUGCCAGCCGCCGCGG